RNAcentral lists this ribosomal RNA (253 nucleotides) under uncultured bacterium. RNAcentral describes it as "partial 16S ribosomal RNA". It matches the Rfam family "Bacterial small subunit ribosomal RNA", at positions 524 to 776 of the family's 1533-position model. The record is from RNAcentral.
UACGGAGGAGGCAAGCGUUAUCCGGAAUUAUUGGGCGUAAAGCGUCCGCAGGUGGCACCUCAAGUCUGCUGUCAAAGACCGGGGCUUAACCCCAGAAAGGCAGUGGAAACUGAAGCGCUAGAGUGCAGUAGGGGUAGAGGGAAUUCCCGGUGUAGCGGUGAAAUGCGUAGAGAUCGGGAAGAACAUCGGUGGCGAAGGCGCUCUGCUGGACCAUAACUGACACUCAGGGACGAAAGCUAGGGGAGCGAAUGGG